Molecule: long non-coding RNA, 17328 nt
Organism: Ostrea edulis (European flat oyster)
Lineage: Eukaryota; Metazoa; Mollusca; Bivalvia; Ostreida; Ostreidae
Exons: 6
Source: RefSeq, a predicted model, not a curated record
AGAAAAUAUCAAAUAUGGGAAAGCGGGACGAUAGACCAAACAUAUCUACGAAGAGACCGUUGGUGCCGGAAAUAUCUCUGUCUUUAGUAGUGUCCGCGAGGUAUAUUAAUUUAUAAAACAUGAGAUAUUAGUACCAUAUUGCCCGGGAAUCAAAAGAUUUUUGCAAGAUCGCAGAAUUCAGCUAGACACACAAAAAAAAAGACAAUCACUACAGCCUUCCAAGAAGAUGGACUGCCUCACAAUAGUUUCCUUGAGGACUGUCUUGAAAUAUCCAGAGUUUAAGAUUCAAGAAACGGACUCUAUCUGGAAAAGGAAAACAAUAUCAAAGCUCCUCUGUGAGAAGUUGGCCAAGGAAAGCAUUCAGAAGAAAGUGGAGAUUCAUUGUUUUUACCAGAUCCAGCAGAUCACAGAAAGCAUCUAGUAGGGGAGUUUCCAGGAUUAAGCCAGCCAGUAGAUGAGACUAUUAUAUCAAAAAUACAUUUACUUGUACACGAGGGCACACAAAGCGUUGAUGAAACAAAAAGACAUUUCCGUCUGUUUGUAAAGGAUACUAUUUCACCAGGGAACACCAUAUCAGAAUUUAACAGAUGCUUUUACCCCGCCAAUAAGGAUGUAAGAAAUCACAUUUACAGGGCACCGAGAUUUUGCCAGGUAGUUUAGAACUGUGUGCAUUGGUUUUGGAAGAAUUUGGGCUGUUUAGGCUAAAAUCCAUUAUGAUUGGACAGAAUAUGAACACACACAUCCAAUACUUCAAAGAUAUUAUGUUUGUGGAGGCAGAGAUUUUGAUUGCAUCCACUGUUUAGAAUACAUCCUUAAGGGAAGCAGACUGCCGCCUUUACCCAAUGAUAUAAUGAUUAAUCAUAACUAUAUCUGUUUUGUACCAAAUAGAAAGAGCAUUGAUUCAGGUCAUUUUCAAAUCCACUGGCAUACAUUGUACUAUACAUGCAACCUUUUCAAACUUUACAUUUAAGAUUUUAUAAAGGAAAUAUCUUAAUGUUUCACAUGUUUACCUUUCACUGUGCUAUGUAAUUCAUUAUACCUGCCAUUAUGCCAGUCUUCCUGAACAUAAUUUGUUUUCUGCAAUUUCAUUGGCCAAGAGGCUUAAUCCUGGGUUAUCAGAUUGAGCAUUUAUAUUUAGUAUCCCAUUGAUUUUGUCAGCCCAAUAUAAGGAGCUGACUCAGAUUUACUCACUCUGCUAGGUUAAAGAACUCUAAGGUUUGUACUUUUCACAUGAAUUUCGUGUUCGCCUCUUAUCUUUUACAUAGAGUAGGAAAUGAACAUAACAUUGAGUUAGGGAACUAUUUAGAUUUUACAUUAUAAUAUGUAAAUACCUUAGCAGAGUCAAUUUACUUGGUUCAGGGUAGUAUCAGAUAUUACUUUUUCAGAGUUUAAGUGUUUAGGCUAUCUCAAUGUUUCUAUAGUUAGCCUUGUCCUAUGUUACUUUUAGAUGUAUGGAAGCCUUUUAGUGUUAUAACACUAUAUUUAUGCCCCCAUUCAAAGAAGAGGGACAUAUUGGUUUGCACCUGUUGGUCGGUCGGUAGACCACAUGUUGUCCGCUUAAUAUCUUAAGAACCAUUCACUUGAUCGUAAUAUAUUUCAUAUGUGGGUUGGUUAUGAAAAGAAGAGGACCCCAAUUGUUUUUCAGGUCGAAAUGUCAAGGGUCAAUCUACUCUGGACAUAGGAAGACACUGCCUGCUCAAUAUCUUGAGAACCCUUUGCUUGACAGACAUCAAACUUGGUACACUGGUACAUCUCAAGGAGUAGAUUUAAGGUCAUAUGGUCAAAGGUCAAGGGGUAAACUGGACAUAGUAAUAUAUUGUCUCUUAUGUUUUAAGAAAUAUUUGCUUGAUUGACACCAAACCUGGUACAGCAUAAGGAGUAGAUGACCCCUAUUGAUUUUUAGGUCACUUGGUCAAUCCACUCCUGACAUAGGAAGAUAUUGUUUGCUCAAUAUUUCGAAUUGAUGAUACUACUAUCAAUCAAAUUAUGCAUAUGUAUAACGCUUUUCAAUUUUGCACCAUGGGGGCUUAUAUGUAAUUGUUUUACAAACACCUCAUGUUUUAUAGUUUGUGAAAGCUUGUUAGGGUCAUAACUUUAGAUUUUCUUAUUAUGGUACUUGCCCGUCAGAGACUGGACAUAUUAUGGUAUGGUGUUGUCUGUCCGGACCUUGUAAGAUGGGAUACAGACUGAACCGUAAGCUCUAGAAUCUUACAACUUGGUACAUUUGAUCACCAUAAAAGGAAGAUGCUUAUUGUUUUUUAAGGUCAAGGUUGUAGGUUCACUUAAUAGGAAAACCUUGUUCGAGAAAAUUACAGAUUCUUGAACUGAGUAUUUUGAGGAAACAUUACAUAGAAAGUACAUGAUUUGUCAAAUUUCUCCCAAUAUUCAACUGAGAACCUUAUUCUGCAGAGUAUUUGUAUGGGUAUGGAAAAUGUGUAUGUGGCUAUGAUUUUGAUUUUUGUUAAAAAUUUUGUUGUUGAAAAUUACAGGUUUAACCGAGUCAGUUUUUGAGGAAAUAUACAUGUAUUAAAUAAAUGACGGUUUGACCUUUUAACUCCUCUCACAGUUUUGAAGCUAGGGUCUUUGUAAAUAACUUCUUUGGUGUUUUAGAAUAUUUACAGAUUGUUGAUCAUGGUCAAUUUUGGGGAAAUAUUUUCCGCAGAGCUCUAGUUGUCUAUCUACCGGCCUCCUGUCACUUUUAAGUUUAGGAGCUUUUAUUCAUGGAAAGAAAGUAUGUGACAACCUGAUGAUGGCUGAUACUAUUUAAAGCCUUUUUAUACGCCCGUCUUAAGAUGGGACGUAUUAUGGUAUGGCGUUCAUGUCCGUCCGUCUGUUAGCUUUUUCGUGUCCGACCCGUAACUUAAAUACUACAAGGCCUAGAAUCGUCAAACUUUGUCUGUAGAUACAUCUUGGGUAGAAGGUGUGUCGCACAUUAAAACCAGGUCACUGUGACUUUUCAUUAAGAAGAUAUCCGUCUGUCCGUCCGUCUGUUAGCUUUUUCGUGUCCGACCCGUAACUUAAAUACUACAAGGCCUAGAAUCAUCAAACUUUGUAGAUACAUCUUGGGUAGAAGGUGUGUCACACAUUAAAACCAGGUCACUGUGACUUUUCAUUAGGAAGAUAUCCGUCUGUCCGUCCGUCUGUUAGCUUUUUCGUGUCCGACCCGUAACUUAAAUACUACAAGGCCUAGAAUCAUCAAACUUUGUCUGUAGAUACAUCUUGGGUAGAAGGUGUGUCGCACAUUAAAACCAGGUCACUGUGACUUUUCAUUAGGAAGAUAUGGCCAUAUAUGGCAAAAACUUGUCCGACUCAUAACUUGAAAACUAUUAGACCUAGAAUCACCAAAAUUGGUCAACUAAUGCAUCUUAGGUAGAAGGUGUGUCGCAUCCUACUUUAAGGUCACUGUGACAUUUAAUUAAGGUGAUAUAAAAAAAAAUGUUUUAAUGGGUACAAUCUAUACUGUUAACAAUAUGUGACGGGCAUAUCAUGUGCCAUGGCGGUGCACUUUAUUUUAGAAAUGGCAUCAGAAAAACACCCUAUGUAACCUUUUCUGCUUGUACUCAUUUAUUUUUAUUGGAAAACUUAUUACUUGUUAUCAGCUACUCUAAAACAAUAUUGACUUGUGCUAUAAUAAAUUUGUAAACUUUACAAGUCUUUUCAUUUCAAACAAGGUGUUGAACAAGUUGUUGAACAUCAUCUGGGAUUCACAACCAAACAGGUACAACAUGGAAACAGUGUGUUCCAUGAUUUCUGUAGUGUAACAAGUCCAGCUGAUCCCAAGUACACUGUACUAUUGACAACGAUUGUUUUUGAUAAGCACAAUAGAAGUUCUACUUUGGGAGAAGCUAUAAUUAUUUUAGUCCUAGCAUACACUGCUUCCUGUUAGAGUUAGGGUGCUGUAUAACUUGGUACCUCUUUGAGAUAAAAUGCUUUAUCAUCAAAUCAUAAAGCAUCUUCCCUCUAACAGAUACCAGAUUAUAAAGCACCCUCCCUCUAACAGGUACCAGAUUCUAUAAAGUACCUUCCCUCUAACAGGUACCAACUUACAAAGCACACUUCCUCCAACAUGUACCAGAUUAUAAAAUAUCCUCCAUUUAUAAUCUGGUACCUGUUAGAGGGAGGUUGCCUUAUAAGAUGGUACCUUUUAGAGGGAGAGUGCUUUAUUAGUUGGUACCUGUUAGAGGGAGAGUGCUUUAUAAUCUGGUACCUGUUAGAGGGAGGUUGCCUUAUAAGUUGGUACCUGUUAGAAGGAGAGUGCUUUAUUAGUUGGUACCUGUUAGAGGGAGAGUGCUUUAUUAGUUGGUACCUGUUAGAGGGAGAGUGCUUUAUAAUCUGGUACCUGUUAGAGGGAGGUUGCCUUAUAAGUUGGUACCUGUUAGAGGGAGAGUGCUUUAUUAGUUGGUACCUGUUAGAGGGAGAGUGCUUUAUAAUCUGGUACCUGUUAGAGGGAGAGUGCUUUAUUAGUUGGUACCUGUUAGAGGGAGAGUGCUUUAUAAUCUGGUACCUGUUAGAGGGAGAGUGCUUUAUUAGUUGGUACCUGUUAGAGGGAGAGUGCUUUAUAAUCUGGUACCUGUUAGAGGGAGAGUGCUUUAUAAGUUGGUACCUGUUACAGGGAGGUUGCCUUAUAAGUUGGUACCUGUUAGAAGGAGAGUGCUUUAUUAGUUGGUACCUGUUAGAGGGAGAGUGUCUUAUAAGUUGGUACCUGUUAGAGAGAGAGUGCUUUAUAAUCUGGUACCUGUUAGAGGGAGAGUGCUUUAUUAGUUGGUACCUGUUAGAGGGAGAGUGCUUUAUAAUCUGGUACCUGUUAGAGGGAGGUUGCCUUAUAAGUUGGUACCUGUUAGAGGGAGAGUGCUUUAUUAGUUGGUACCUGUUAGAGGGAGAGUGCUUUAUAAUCCGGUACCUGUUAGAGGAAGAGUGCUUUAUUAGUUGGUACCUGUUACAGGGAGGUUGCCUUAUAAGUUGGUACCUGUUAGAGGGAGAGUGCUUUAUUAGUUGGUACCUGUUAGAGGGAGAGUGCUUUAUUAUUUGGUACCUGUUAGAGGGAGAGUGCUUUAUAAUCUGGUACCUGUUGGAGGGAGGUUGCCUUAUAAGUUGGUACCUGUUAGAGGGAGAGUGCUUUAUUAGUUGGUACCUGUUAGAGGGAGAGUGCUUUAUAAUCUGGUACCUGAUAGAGGGAGAGUGCUUUAUAAGUUGGUACCUGUUAGAGGGAGAGUGCUUUAUUAGUUGGUACCUGUUAGAGGGAGAGUGCUUUAUAAUCUGGUACCUGAUAGAGGGAGAGUGCUUUAUAAGUUGGUACCUGUUACAGGGAGGUUGCCUUAUAAGUUGGUACCUGUUAGAGGGAGAGUGCUUUAUUAGUUGGUACCUGUUAGAGGGAGAGUGUCUUAUACGUUGGUACCUGUUAGAGGGAGAGUGCUUUAUUAGUUGGUACCUGUUAGAGGGAGGUUGCUUUAUAAUCUGGUACCUGUUAGAGGGAGAGUGCUUUAUAAGCUGGUACCUGUUAAGAGGGAGAGUGCUUUAUAAUCUGGUACCUGUUACAGGGAGGUUGCCUUAUAAGUUGGUAUCAGUUUUCAAACAACAAAUAUGUAAAAGUCUUGAUAUCCUCUAUGGAAAAUAACAUUUCAAGUUGAUUUAAAGUGUACACAUUGUUAAUUGUAAUUAAGCGUAUUUCAUAUCAAUGUGCUGUCACAACAUUCCGUGAAAUUAUGAAUACUACGACGUUCUAAUGGUGUAUCAAGAUUUUAAAAUAUUCUGCCCGAAAUUUGUACAUCAAUGAUUUAGAAAUAUCAGUCUAAUACUUUGGGGAGGGUGUGAUGCUAAUACAUCCAUCAUAACACACGGUACCUAAUAUGCAUUAAAAAAUAUAUAUAUGUUUAUGCAUAGAAUUACCAUUUUUCUCAAUUCACUGCAACAGUGUAUCAUUCUUGUUAACAAUGUAGAUUAUUAAUAUUUGUCAGGGUUUUUUGAUACUUGCUUAUGUAAUAUAUGUCUCUUGAUUUAGACGCGGGUUGUGUCGAAAAUCUGAGUUUUAAAUAAUCAACAGUGUUGUGCUUCUCAUUUUUAGAACCGAUUGAUUUGAAUAUGAUUGAAAGUAUUCAUGUUUCCUACGUAAUUGAUAAUAAAUAUACAUGUGUUUGCCAACCACAAUGGAGCUCCAACAUGACCUAUUUUACCUAAUAUUGGUCUAUCAAGAAAUAAGUAUAAAAGAAUUGACACACGACGAUUAUUCGUACGAAUCAUUGUGAAUUAUAAAUUGGCACGAGGGAUAACUCGUACCUACAUAAGAUGAGAUAACUCGUGGUCGUCACCCUGUAAGCGGUACCAGAUAGCCUUCAAGCAAUGCAAAAUGGUUGGGCAAACACGGACCCCUGGACACACCAGAGGUGGGAUCAAGUACCUAGGAGAAGUAAGCAUCCCCUGUCUAUCGGGCACACCCGCCGUGAGCCCUAUAUCCUGAUCAUCUUAAACGUUAUUUAAUUGCUUGUUGUUAUAAUUUACUUGUUUCAAAUAGACAUAUAUGUAUGAAUGAGCUGUCUUGAAUACUUAGGACACAAGACUGUCAGUCUGAUAGACAAACUAAAGGACAAUGUUCAAAUCAAGAAAUGAAUUCAACGUCACACUCAGAAAUAAGUUUGAUAUACUCGAAAACAUUGAGUUACACGACAGCACACUAUCCAAUGACGAUUAGAGGAAAAAAAUAAGUAACAUCCAUGUUGAAUCCUGUGGAAAAUGUUUAGGACACAUAAACAAAAACAAACAACCAAAAAUUGGAUAACACCUGGUGCCUGGGCAAUGAUCGAUUCAAGAAAAGAUGCCAAAACCAAAGUGAAUGAAGCAAAGUCCGAAAAUUUAAAGCAGAAACACCAAAAUAAAUACAGUAAGAUACAAAAGAAAGUUAAAAACGGAUUUAGCACGGACAAGAGAAACUACAUACAAGAUCUAGCAUCAAAAGCAGAAGAGGCAGCAAGUACAGGAGAGCAAAAAAAAAUAAAAAAUAAAUAAAGACUAAAUUUUAAAAACCCAGAACAUCUUAUUAUUGAUGAAACACACACGCACACCUGGACAGUAUCACCAAGACAGUCCUCUUCUGGACACCCGAGGGAAAACGAAAGAGAACGGCCAAAAGUCACGUGACGGAGGACAGUGGAGGCAGAAACGAAACAACUAAAGCAAGGUUAGAAGACCCUCCAGACCGACAGGAAUAGAGAACCCUCAUUGUUGCCCUACAUGUCAGGCAUAAUGGGCAGUAAGUAAGUAUUUGAGACAAAUACACAUUCAUUUCAAUUAUUGAUGAAACACACACACACAAACACACCAGAUACAGGAUCCAAAUGCUUUGCAACAUAGAGCGAUCCACAGUGAAUUACACCUUUCAUUUUAGGUACAUCCCAACUACGAUAAUGUUCUCGGUCAUUUCUUAAUUCUAUGCAAUAAUUCUUAGUCCCGACAAUCAAUUACCAGAGAGAUAUGGCUCAGUGGUAAGAACAUUCGUUUCGUGACCUGGAAAUCGUGGGUUCAACACUCGUUCGUAUCUUGGCCGCGUCAAAUUCGUCGAAUGCUCAGAAUUAAAAUAUGACAAAACAUUGAAUUCGGUCAAUCACGUCCUCUCUUCUUUGAGUCACCACACCCGAUCGGGGAUUAGUGCUCUCAUUCCAGUAAAGGACAGUAAAAGUUGCCAUGAAAUCAAACUCAUAGUAUAAGCGGAAAAACCCCUACAAGUAUAAAUCGCCCUUUUUCUCCAUGAUGGCUUGCUUUGCUGCAAUGCUCUUUAGUAAAAAGGGUGUAGAUAACAGUGAUCAAUCUCAUAACUCCUAUAAAGAAUACAAAAUAGACAGUUGGGCAAACACGGACCUCUGGCCACACCAGAGGUGGGAUCAGGUGUUUAGGAGGAGUAUACAUCCCUUGUUGACCGGCCAUGCACAACCGUCGUGUACCCUCUAUCUUGGCCAGGUAAACGGAGCACUCUGCAGUCAAAAUCUGUAGAUAAGAACGGCCUUACUUUAAAUCACCGUUACUUAUAUACUAGCAAUUAACUAUCGACAACAUUAACGUUUGAAGAGAAAAAACAUAGUUUUAACGUGAAUCCCAGACUUAAAUAACUAGAUACAACUUGCAAGCCAAAAUUUAUAUUUCUCAACAAAAAUUGUUUUACCACGUAUUCACAUAUGUCAUGCAUGGUUUAUUAACAAUCGUGAACUAUAGUGAAUGUUUUUUUCAUAUUUCUCAACAAAAAUGGUUUUUACCACGUAUUCACAUAUGUCAUGCAUGGUUUAUUAACAAUCGUGAAUGUUUUUUUAUGUUUUAAUUUUAUUACCUUCAAACCUUCAUUACAUACUUUACACUUCGUAAUCAACAGACUACUAGUGAUGAAUCUAGUUUAUCAGAAACUAAGAUAGAAAUCGGUUCCACUGAGUACUCUAAUCACAAUGUGAAACACUGCCACCCCUCCGGGCGUGAUCGAUUGUAAAUCAGUAUCGUCCAUCUCGUAGACAUAAAAUUGCAUCAUAACCCAUGUUUUUUCACUAAACACCUACAUGAAGAAGAGUUAUCUUUCUUUUAUUGCAGAGUCGCCCCGAGCUUCCUUGGCCGGUAGUAGAUUUUUCUUUCUCCAGCUGUGAACUUUUAUUUGGACAUCGAAAAAUUAGGUUUCAAACCCGUAACUCAUUAACCUACCAUUUAUUUACACAUUCACCUUUCUUUCCCAGCAAUUGUCAUUAGCAUCACGCAUUACUAUUAGAUAUGGUAAUCAACAUCCACACGCAUUAAGGAGGUAUGCUACACCGGAGAAAUUUUAUGUAGAUGAAAAGUGUAGGAUAUGUAUAAAAAUAUUUUGAAUUGGAAAAUUUUCAAAUUUACUUUAUUUUGUCAAAAAAUACAGUUUUAGUAGAAGGUAAUCUGAAAAAAAUUUAAAACCCCUACUGGACUCGAACCUGCGACAUACAGUUCAGCAGUCGGUAUUCUAACCUACUGAGCUACUCGGCUAGGUAUUUAAAUGGAAAAGGAAAAGUCAAAUAUUGCUGAUAUCGAUUUUGUCAUCCAUGUUUUUAAAGGAAGUCAGCCAUUAUGACGAUGUAGAGUACUACCUUAAGUGACGUUUAUUUCAACUUCACAUAAAAACUUAUACAGAAUUUAUAAAAGAAAAGCCCAAAAUCAAAACAAAAAUGUUAAGUUUGUGUUAUGGAGGACAUGGUUAAAUCAGCAAUUCCCAGUCACGUGAUACCGCAGUGUAGAGUAGCAUUUGUCACGAUUACUGGUAACAGGAUUCGAAAAUAUCAUCAAAAAGUCUUAAUAGAAAAUCUUCGGUUUUAUUCUCAUGAUAUUUUGAUUCACACUGAAGAUCAGCAGACAUACAUUUGCCUAAUCAUUCGAAAUAAUUUGCUAAAUUGGUACUGUAGGCAAACGUGACGCACUGCCGCACAUGCAGUAAAUAGUUCAAGACAGAUUGAUCAGUGUAGAGGCGUUUAUUCCUGAAAUAAAACUGUCCUAUCUGUGUCGGUCUCCCCCAUUCAAACGUUUUAUGUUUUUGACAACCGCCAGUCCAGAAGCUUGCCAAGAAAUUCCCCACGCUGCUAUAUAUGGCUUACAGGUGGUAUACAAUUAUUGAUUUUUUUCUUCAGGAAGAAAAAUGACUGUACAAACUUGGGUUUGAAUUGAGAGAGCAGGCCCGAGAUUACUUCCUUGAUAAUCAAAAUUAGUAGGGAAAACUUUGAAUGAACAGAAAAGUUAAGUUUGAGCACGGUUAUCGGCAGAUAUCCAUCCUUUGUUUCACUUCCUAAUAUUUUUUUUCCUGGGAUUAUAUUUACGUUUGCAUGAUAUUUUAACAAAUUGUAAUGCUAGCCAUUUCCUCAUGAAUGGGCUGAAGUUGUAAACAAUGUGCUGGGAAUCCGACAGAAAUCAAAGUACAAUGUACAUGUAGAUUUUAUAUGUUAAAAUAAAUUUAAAUUUUUUGAAAAUACUUGAGGGUAAUAUUGAACUGGAACGCCCCAAGGCUUAACGCUGGCACAACGUGCUUCGUGAACUAUGCCAGCAUGAAGCGCCGCCGUUCAUACUCUCAUGUACUUUCAAAACUGAAAUACAUUCCUUAAAUUCCCCCGAAUUGAAGUUUUGUGUAUGUCAAAGGUCGGAGAUAAGGUAAAGGUCGUUUAUCAAUGCCAUUAUGAUCACCAUUCAUUAAAGUUCUCUUCGCUUGGCACUUUGAGUUUCACAUUCUCCGUGCAGUAUUUAUGGGGUGAGGGUGGGGGUGCAAUGCCUCCAUUGUUUUACAUCCCCAUGAUACAAACUAGGCGUUCAUUCCCUAAAUCAUCGUCGGUUACCCACGGGUGAUUCUCGUUGAGCGUGUGUGGGCUCACCGUGGUUUGCGACGAUGUCCCAAUAUGUCAAUUUACAUUUUGUAAUUAAGUCCCGUCUGUAGCAUACCACAUGUCUAAAAUUACAAUCGUUACGCCUAUUUCCAUGCGUAAAAAAUAAAUAAAUAGCAAUGGUGUUCCGAUUGAGGUUUAGAACAGACAAAUCACAGGCAAUUAUAUCGCUUGGGUUCAUAUUGACUAUUUUAUGCUGUACUUUUUGUAAUUCAAGACAAUGAGCAGAUGAAAUGCACUUCAUUUUAGAAUGUAAAGCUUUUUCAGAAGUAAGUAAGAAAUUUUUAGACACGAAUUCAGCUACAGACCAAAUACUUCUGUGAAUUGAUGUCAUCUUUGAGAGUGAAAACUUUGAGAGAACUCUGUAUGUUUCUACUAAAUAUUUAUGACUCAGUCUGUCUUCCUUGAUUCUAUACAUUUUGAGUACUUGUGCCUUUGUUUCUAGUAUAAUUCAUAUUAUACCUCUGACAAAUAAACUUUUGCAAACUUAUUCAUAUACCAAUGCAUAGUUGGUUUGAGCGAAUAAACUAAAGAGUACUGUUUAAUAAUUGCCUUUGGUAAAUACAUGUAUAUAUAUCAAAUAUGCCCGAUUUGCGUUAAAAUGGUAGUUACACCUCAAUUGCUGUGCAGCAUCAUGCAUGUGUAGCAACCCACUUUAUGUUCCCGGUCGCGACUCCGUGACUAAAUUCUGACCAUCAUUCCUACAGCUCCGAUCCUUCAGUUCGCCUGUCUUUGAUGAUUAAAGUUAUUCAAAAUUAACUAUGCGGACAGCCAGAUACCCACCCCACCCCCUUCUCUUCAAGGUUCAAAAAGUAUAUAUGAAAUCCGUUUUCGGCAUUUAUCCUGCCAUUCACUUCAUACACAUUUACUAAUUUAACCCCGGACAACUGCGCAAUAAAAAUCUUUUGAUAAUAAUACUCUUCUCCAAGGGUACACAUCAUGAAACAAUCUUUUACCCGAUCUGUAUCGAAUGCCAAUUUCAUAAUGUUAGGCGUUCCCGAAUUCAUCUAUUCAAUUUCAUAUUCACAGAGGGUCAUUCACCCCAGGUUUAUGAAAUUCAAGUAUUUACAAGUCAACAACCUCUAGCAAAGCCACGGCAGCUAUGUACAGCGUGUGUUCGUCAAUAUCACAAGUAGCUCAAUAGUCUAAAUGUUUUAGGGAGUGGACCAAAAGCGACCUGUGACGGGAGUACAUAAUUUGCCAGAUCAAUAUGAUGUCUCACGAUCAGGUUCUCUAGUGUAUCGAACUGAAUUCCUUCGAUACUUCGUACAUUUCUGUAACUAUUUAUAGUGCCUCUCCUCAUCAGCCCAAAAUUCGCCCAUCACGCAGGCCUACUAAUUGACACCAUGAAGCUGCUGACGUCAGCCGACUUCUUCUUUCUUACAUUUAAGUAUGAAAAAGUAUCAUUAAAAUAUUAUUUAUUAGUAUGUGGUUGAAUAAUUCAUAGACUUGCGCAAUUUCUAAGGAAUAGUAGUAAUGUACUAGUACAUGAACCUGUAGAUCUUUCUAAGUGUGUCGCAGUUACACCUAUGAAAUUUCUGGAACAGGAUUUCGCAACUGUACUGUAACAAUUCUAACAUCGUGACCUCUUCGGCCACUAAUCCACUGCGUAGUUUAGAUAAGCAAUACACACAGGUGCGUCCAAUGCGUCGGCCAUUACCGACAGGCACUGAAAUCCACUACAUUUUGGUAUCCAUCCAGUCCGUAAAUGUCAUACUAGCCUUUUCUCUUCAAGUCAUAUAUGUAUUCAAAUUGAAUCGGUUUUCAUCAAGAUUCAACUGUAAACACGUCAUACGGAUAAACAUGUUUACGCGCAUUCUGUUUACAUGAAUAACCUUCCUAUCGGAAAUAUAAUGACCAGCGUAGGAUACUCAAGUACACGUUCUACUAAUUCUGCGCGACAUUAAUUACCUACUUACAGUGACCGUUAUCAGGUAAAUUCCUUACUUGUGCAAGCCCACCUUUUGACCUUAUUGAUCAUGCUGAUGUCGGAUGACUUUGUUUAUGAUCAAUCCCGGAAGAAGAAAAUAAAUCUAGAAAUAUUUUGUAUUCUCAACAUUUUAAUUAUAAAUGAACAUCAACAGAUUACUGAAAACGAAGCCUUUGAUGGGAAACAAAGCCUUUGUUACAACAGAUGAUAUCGCUACCUCACAUUUUGUUCACACAUCUUGACCACCGUCGUUAAACUAAAAGGAUCUAGAAUUUUUGCCCCCAGCAAACACCAAUGAAAAACAUUUCCUAGUAAAAAAUAAAUUAUAGUAAAUGCAGGGCGCAAAAAUGCCAAACCUUGCCGAGAUAAACGACAUUUGGUAGUCGUAUUACUAUUGCAUUCUUUUUUUUUCCUAUACAAAUUAAGAAUAAAUUAAACCACAAGUACACGUUGAUCUACAAGACUAUAACGUCCUUAAUUAUUAUUGCCCGUGGAAUGUGGUGUUUCAACAUACACAAGGCCCACUUACACAUUUAGCAACACACAACACAAAACCAACAUUUGUGCGUCUCAUUUGCACCGAACAUGUACCCAAGUGACUAUCACAUACGAACCACACAAAAACUGGCCUAUGUAGUUAAGAGAUCUUACUCUUGCGACUCAACACGCAAAAUUGUCCUGAUUAUGAAAGGUGAUAUCAUUCACAAUGCACAGCUACUACUGUACACAUUUGCGCAUGAUAUGAACUUGGCACAUAUCCUUUUUUCUUUUGCAGUGUUAUUUAAACAGUGUCAAUUGCAAAUAUAUGAAUCGUUUAAAGCAGAAUUGCUUCUGAAUGUUUCACAAUUCCUUCAGUCCCAUAAGCAAGCUCUCUAUGAAGCUGCAACAGUUCCACGAAAAGUUCUUCCUUGUAUUUUUUUGUUUUUAAAUAAAAAUCUUCAAUAUUGCAUUCAUAAGUUCUACCCGCUUCAAUACCAACUAGUAUUUUAAUUCCAUUCUCUUCAAAGUUUCUAAGAACUGAAUUAAACAAAGAAAUUGUCUUCUGCCUCAUGAACAACCAUGUUGGGGACCAUUUGGUCCAUGUUUUUGUGAUCAUUGAUAGUCACAAACCCUCCUGUUGAGGUGGAAUCGGUGAACCAUGGAUGUUUGAGAAUUUGAUCUGCAGAAAGACGCUCAAGUGGGUCCCUCCUCAGCAGAUUCUUAAUCAAGCAUCGUGCUUUUGGAGACAGUACAGGAGGAACUGAGAAUUGCCCUCGACGGAUUUUCCCAAAGAGUGCACUUGGGUCGGAGUCAUGAAAUGGGUAUCUUCCCACUAACAUUGUGUAUAACAUGACACCUAAGCUCCAGACAUCUGCGGAGCGACCAGAGUAAGUUUCGUUUGGGUUGAGAAUUUCGGGGCUGACGUAGGCUGGACACCCAUGUUUAUCAGUUAGUCGAUCAUCAUUGUCAUCAUCGAGAACAUAAGCAUCCUCCAAACCGUCCAGACGAAGCUCCGUCCUACAAAGAUAAUAAUAAAACAAAUAUUUAACGUCAAUCUCUGAACCUGUGCCAAGUUUUAUGUAACAUCUAGUCCCAAGUUUAUAGGAUAGGAAAAAAAUAAAUAAAUAUAGAAAUGGAUUAUUUCCUCUGAGGAAGAAUUCAUCAGCAAAAUAGACUAACAUUCCAAAACAUAAUGAUUAGUGCACUUCAAACAUUCUAUUUAAGGAGUCCUACAUCAUUGAGAAUUUCAAGUAUUUUUCAUAAUUCAGGUUGCUCACUGGGGCAAAGCACCGAUAGCAUUUAAACUUUUAUAGAGAAUGGGCAUUAUACAACUGCCGACACACAACCUACUAUGGUAACCUCAGUUCACACAUACGUCAUUCUUUACUGGCAUGCAGAGAAAAAUUUAAUCAAAGCGACAUGAAGCCAAGUGACGUCAGUUCUAAUUAGGCCAGGUACAAUGUGCUAUGAAGAUCAAAAUAUAUCAGACAACAGUAAAUUCACGUUUUUUUUUACUUUGUUCUAGUUCAGUUCCUCCCAUACUGUGUACAUGACUAUAAAACCAACACUCAACACACUAUGGUCUAAAAAUACACUGGCCCAGGGCCUUGAAGUGCAAGGAUCAUCCCAUUGACAGGCUUUUUUCAUUUCCUUUUCCACCUUGUGACAAACAUAUCAUAAAAAUCAUGCCAGCCCAGAGAUGUCUUCUCCCCUUAUGAAAUCUCAUCGACAGAAUAAAUUUACUGGCAGCAGAAAGGUGUAUUCAUUGUAUGGUAAUUUACCAAAACAGAGAACUCCUCUGUCUUCUGCAAUGACAGCGGAACCUUGGCACCUUCUCAUUUCCUUGAUGACUUAAAACAAUUAUAGGAAUUCAAUAUCAUAGCCCUCUCUAACAAACCACGCUUUAAACAACAUAUAAAUUCUGCGUAAAAAGAUACCACACCCUACAAUAAUGAGAUAAGACAUUAACAAACUAGCUGUCGAUAACACACUCUAACUAGUAGCUGCUAUAUUCAGACACACCUAAUCAGAUAUGUAUAUACGUUUCCCUGUUACUUCUCUGGGUGCAACCACUGAGUUUCUGUUAACAACUUUCUUUGCACAUAAAUUCAACUUAUUUUUUGUGGAUUUGAUAUCACAAAUUUUAUCUAUGGAUAUGAUGAUGUAAAUUGUUUUAAAAAUACAGCACAAAAAAUAUCCAAUGAUAUUCUCUAAGGGCAUGUUUUUUCUACCACAAAUGAAUAAUACAAACAUUAAUUUGAUGCUUCAAUUCGUGAUGCCCAUGGCUAUACAAACGAUAGAUAGGUAUUUAACAAGGGCGUCUGCGUUUUACUGCGUACAUUAAAUUAUUGGGCGGAGCCUACUUUCGAGCUAUGCUAGGUGGAGCUGUACAUUUACAUCUGACUGACCUACAUUCACCUACACUUUGCACUGAAGUGUCAGGGGUCGUGAUUAGUGACAAGUAGGAUUAAGUCACAAAAAAUUAUCUAUACUUUUAUAAAAUUUAUUUCAUAUUUAAUGGCCAUCAUGUUUAAGUUUAUGGACACACAUAUAAUUAUUAUGUAGGCACGGCAUCCAGAGAUUCUAUGUUGCAGACUGACAUUCUUAUCAUGUUCGGAAUGUGUUUUGUGGUAUUAUUUAACUUCAUUCUACAGAAUUUCUGAAGACAAGGUAUAAAAUCCAAAAUUGCAAGAAACUGAACAUGUCUUACCUAUCCUGGUUUUUGAAGACAAAUUUUCGUAGCUUAAGAUCUCGAAGAACCACCCCAUUCUCGUGACAAUGCAACACAGCUGCGACUAUUUGCUCCAUCAGAUGUGAUGCCUCCUCUUCUCGUAAUUUUUUCUUUUGUCUCACAUACGAAUGCAAGUCUCCAUAAUGACGCUCAAAUAUGACAUAGGCUUUCGUUUCCCCCAGAAUGAUCUCGGAAAUCGAACUUAUGUUGUUAUGGUCAUCCACUUGCCAGUAUGGAGCAAGAUGGUCUCUAUAGGUGUUGACAGGAAACACCUGCAAUCAUAAAAAUAAGGAUAAAAUGACUGAGGGACAUAGUCAUCUUAUUCUGGGGAACCUAAUAUUUAUAUCCAGUUUAGAGCCUUAAAAUAGUUCAAUACUGCUUCAGAUACAGUCGCAAGAUACAGAGAUUGCUUAAUGGCAAGGGAUGAUGGGCUUUGCAUGACUAAAAAUAGUUUCACAUUCUAUUGAAGCAACAUGAUCAUGAAUGAUAUAACACUCUGAACACAAGUAAGUGAUUUCCUGUUGAUGCAACACUGCCAGGCUUUAAUAACAGACGCAAAAUGAAUUGCUAUACUGAUUAUGACUAACAAUGAUUUCAUGAGUUUUGUUCAUCCAGCAGCUGUCCAAUACCUUAAUUCAGUGAUGUCAUUGUAAACAUGGUCAUAUCAACUAUCAAAGCGGUUCAGGUUUGCACUGUACCUAAACAGCAAGUUCAACUGUAUUGAAAUUUUUAAAUGCACACCAACUGUCAUACGCUAUCAGGUAACCCAGUUCAGGCAAGGUAUGACUCACUCAAAAACCUACACAUUUUCAAAUGAAACAAAAACUUUAAAAUAUACAUGUACUGCAAUCAAGACCAAUGAAAUUUCCCCCCAAAACAUUUACAUUUUUGUGAGGCACUUUGUAACACAGUGAAAUACGAUGUACUUGUAGAUAUUAGCAAUUUUAAAUGUAUUUAUUAUAACAAUACCUUGCAUAUGUAUUCUUCAUAAGUCUGCCAGUUUACAGCCCUGAAAGUUUCCCCUUCCUGUUGGUCAAAAAGUAUGUAUCUUCCAAUUUUCGACACAUUUUGAGCACUGGAUUUCUUCGGAAAUUCUGGUGCUGGUAGCUGCACAUCUGGACUAAGUGUAGAGUUUAAGUUGGGUUGUUGAAUUUCAAAUAUAUCUUCUUUCUUUUUGUGCCCAUGCUUCGUGAUUUGUAGCCUGGGCCUUAUCCGCGUAAUACUCAUAAAGAAGGUUGAUCCCCUCCUUUGCAGUCGAGCUUUCAAAAAUCCGAACCUUCCUUCCCAGCUUUUUCACUCCAGUUUCGAUUAAAUGACCUAUUUUGAAAUAUCUCUUUGAAACACACUAAUUUAAAAAACAAAUAAUGAAAUAUUGAAAAUGUAUAUCACAAGAAGUCGUUAUCACAGAUACACAAUCGUUCAACGAACAAUGAAAUCUCGUGCAAGAGUUCCGUAUCACAGAUUCAAAUAAAAUGGUCCGAUAUAAGGAAUUUACAAUAUUGUAACUGGUCCGUUGCGAGGAAAACUAUUUUGUGCCCUUACCCAAAUUCUAUCUUAGGUGUGCAAUUACUUUGCAAUCACAGAAGUUUCACUGUAUGAUGAAAUAAAUUGCGUACUAGGAAUCACACUGGUCGGUCGAUAAUGCCGGAAAAUUGCGAUUUUCUUCUGUUAUCCGCUAGGCCUAGUAAAUUGUUAAAAACUUCUUCACACCGUUCUUCCUUGCUUCAAGAUACACCAACAAUAUUUUCUUUCACUUGGGAAGGGCACACUUUCCCCCCUCCCGUUUAGAGACUCUCGAAUAUACUACGUCUAUCGUUCUCCAUUGUGCUGUU